This is a long non-coding RNA of Panicum virgatum (switchgrass), 2443 nucleotides long. RefSeq lists it as uncharacterized. The record is from RefSeq and is a predicted model, not a curated record. NCBI's taxonomy places the organism in Eukaryota, Viridiplantae, Streptophyta, Magnoliopsida, Poales, Poaceae. The transcript has 8 exons.
CGCGCGGCUGCGCGCGCCGGCGCCCUGGCCCCCACCCACCGCCGGGCGGCUGCGCACGGGCCGGCGCCCUCGCCCCCACCCACCAUCGCGCGCCUCCACGUAGCCUCCAUCCCCAGUUCCCCACCGGGGCUCAGAUCGAUUUGUUUUCCUUUUCCAUUUUGGGCGGCGGCCGAGGUGAUCUGAUUCGGUUGCGCAGCAAAAGGUUAACUGAUGCCGAUGCGUGUUUUGCUGAAUUUUUUUGGGGGGAAAGCUUCAUGUGGGUCAGCUAAGUUUUGUGGCCAUCCUAUUUGUGACAAUAAGGCCAUUCUCAAAGAGCUUCUAUCGGCGGAUCAACAGAUUCCUGGCAGAGCUGCUGUGGCCUCAGCUGGUUUGGGUUGUGGACUGGUGGGCAGGCGUCAAGGUAAAGAGCAUGCACUCAUCAUAUCAAAUCAUUGGAGCGAUGUCGAUUGGCUUAUUUGAUGGAUAUUGGCACAGGUUUGUGUUCAGCGCUCAGGAUGCCUUGGAAGUAAACUUGCUGUGAUGAAGUCAUCAAGGUUCCUUGCAAUUGAUCCCUGAAUUGAAGACUCUACAAGUCCAAAUUAAACAAAAACAUUAUUGCUGAUAUCUGGAAGUCACUUGGUCAGGUACAAAAAUACAACAGAAUGGUGAAUGGAGCGCCGGUGAUCUUCAUCAAGGUGAAGUUUAGUUAACCUUUUCGCCAAGUUAACUUUAGUUUUAUUAGCUGCGUUAUGUACACAGAGAGUUAGAAUUUAUAGUAAUCUUCAUAUUAAGUUCCCUUCAAUAAUAUAUAUGUAGUACAGUUCUCAUUUUAGUGGACAUGCAUAUGGAACAACAAUUGGAUCUGAUGGAUGGCUUGUAAUUUUUAUGUAUAAGUAAUUUCAAUGGACAUGUAUAUGGAACUACAAUCAGAUCUGAUGGAGCUGAGAAAUUGUGCAUGGACAAAUUAUAUUUUUUUUACCUAUGUUAUUUGGUUUCCUGACGGUUUUUUGCUAUAAAAACCGUCGGGAAUUCAUUUAGGAGGUGUCAUCAGGCUGGCCGUCAGGAACUGCCGUCAGGAAAUGAUUCCUGUCGGCCAACCGUCAGGAAAUGUCAUUUUUCCUGACCACCGUCUCCUGUCAGCAAAUUCCUGUCGGUAAGCCGACAGGAGUCUUAUUCCUGACGGUUUUCGGAUGAAUCCUGACGGUUUUUGGCCGUCAGGAAACAAGCUCAGCCUGAUGUGAAAGGAAAAAAAUAUUGAUAUUGAUCUGGUAAAACCAAGCUUCUGCUUCUGACUGUGAUACUUAAAUAUGGUGAGUCAAACGUUCCUUAUUAUGUUGCAAGCACCAUUGAACAUAGGGUCAGUUGGAUCCAUGCCACUACAAUUUCACGAAGUUGGAUUUCAUUGCGAUGGGAGGCCUCAAUUGUGCUUUUAGCGUGCUUGGCAACCACAUCGAUCAGCAGUGGGUGGGAUGACUGGACUUGGUUUGGUAGAAGUGGCAGGGGCUAGCUACCAUUGUCGAUGACAGGAAAAGCAAAGUUCUUAGUGGCACCUCUCUCAGCACUGACCAGAUAGAUGCUGUUCCUGAUGCCUCUUUUUCCCGCCUCAGUGGUCAGCCCAUUGCUUGGCUUGCCCAUUUCAGUUUAUGUAUUGCCCUAUUUCUAUGUCGCUCCCUUACUCGGAAUGGACUGUAUACUUGUAUAGAAGCAAGGCAGCUGGGGAACAUGCUCUUAUACUACUAUCUUCGCUGCAUGUCGCACAUCAACAUUAGUUCAUGUUCUACGGUCAUUGGCAAAGAGCACAUGGAGGAGCUAGUUCUUGGUAUGGGCGCGACAGGGCAGGGAUGAAUGCCUGAUGAGCGGCAUGGGAGAUGGAGACAUUAUUAGAUGGUGCACGUAGAAAAUAAAUCCUUCGAACACUAAGUGUUUUCUAUAGACAUCCUGCAAUCGAUUGUUUUAGUCAAUUCAUCAUGAUCCUAUGGUAGCUGACGUAUCCUCUUCACAUAUUGACCCGCAGCUUCUUCUUCAUGAGCCAUCCUCUUGAGCACGCCUCAUUACCAGAGGCUGCUAGCUAGCUAUACAAUCAACGACGGGAUGCAGUUCCAGAUGCCCCCCAUUCCUACUAUUCUGUAUAUGUAUGGAGCAUCCAAGUCCCAUGUCAUUGUGGUUUCUGUUCGGCUCCAGCUUUUUUUUUUCACACGACUUGGUUCUUGACAUUUGUUUUGUGGCUGAAUUGGACAAUGAACAGAUAUGGGAAGACUAGAAUAUAUAGCAACAUUUAUUGGCUGGAUGUUGGCAGUACAUAUGUGGGCCAUGCUGUGUUAAGCAGAGUAAGAAGCUAUGGCAGACGAGACUAGCUACACUGAUCGUCUGGGUACCUCAACAAGGCAAGAUUGUGAGAGCAACACAUAGAAUUGUUGGCAUGUUACUACAAAUACAGGAGUAUUAAACUUUUGUCCAUUACUAU